Molecule: ribosomal RNA, 1434 nt
Filed under: uncultured organism
Description: 16S ribosomal RNA
Rfam family: Bacterial small subunit ribosomal RNA
Source: RNAcentral
GAUGAACGCUAGCUACAGGCUUAACACAUGCAAGUCGAGGGGCAGCAUGGUCUUAGCUUGCUAAGGCCGAUGGCGACCGGCGCACGGGUGAGUAACGCGUAUCCAACCUGCCUUACACUCUUGGACAGCCUUCUGAAAGGGAGAUUAAUACAAGAUGUUAUCAUGAGUAAGCAUUUUCACAUGAUUAAAGGUUUACCGGUGUAAGAUGGGGAUGCGUUCCAUUAGAUAGUAGGCGGGGUAACGGCCCACCUAGUCUUCGAUGGAUAGGGGUUCUGAGAGGAAGGUCCCCCACAUUGGAACUGAGACACGGUCCAAACUCCUACGGGAGGCAGCAGUGAGGAAUAUUGGUCAAUGGACGAGAGUCUGAACCAGCCAAGUAGCGUGAAGGAUGAAGGUUCUAUGGAUUGUAAACUUCUUUUAUACGGGAAUAAACGAAUCCACGUGUGGAUUUUUGCAUGUACCGUAUGAAUAAGGAUCGGCUAACUCCGUGCCAGCAGCCGCGGUAAUACGGAGGAUCCGAGCGUUAUCCGGAUUUAUUGGGUUUAAAGGGAGCGUAGAUGGGUUGUUAAGUCAGUUGUGAAAGUUUGCGGCUCAACCGUAAAAUUGCAAUUGAUACUGGCAGUCUUGAGUACAGUUGAGGUAGGCGGAAUUCGUGGUGUAGCGGUGAAAUGCUUAGAUAUCACGAAGAACUCCGAUUGCGAAGGCAGCUUACUAACCUGUAACUGACAUUGAUGCUCGAAAGUGUGGGUAUCAAACAGGAUUAGAUACCCUGGUAGUCCACACGGUAAACGAUGAAUACUCGCUGUAGGCGAUAUACAGUCUGCGGCCAAGCGAAAGCAUUAAGUAUUCCACCUGGGGAGUACGCCGGCAACGGUGAAACUCAAAGGAAUUGACGGGGGCCCGCACAAGCGGAGGAACAUGUGGUUUAAUUCGAUGAUACGCGAGGAACCUUACCCGGGCUUAAAUUGCAACCGAAUAUGGCGGAAACGCUAUAGCUAGCAAUAGCGGUUGUGAAGGUGCUGCAUGGUUGUCGUCAGCUCGUGCCGUGAGGUGUCGGCUUAAGUGCCAUAACGAGCGCAACCCUUGCCGAUAGUUACUAACAGGUCAUGCUGAGGACUCUGUCGGGACUGCCAUCGUAAGAUGUGAGGAAGGUGGGGAUGACGUCAAAUCAGCACGGCCCUUACGUCCGGGGCUACACACGUGUUACAAUGGGGGGUACAGAGGGCUGCUACCACGCAAGUGGAUGCCAAUCCCAAAAACCUCUCUCAGUUCGGAUUGAAGUCUGCAACCCGACUUCAUGAAGCUGGAUUCGCUAGUAAUCGCGCAUCAGCCACGGCGCGGUGAAUACGUUCCCGGGCCUUGUACACACCGCCCGUCAAGCCAUGGGAGCCGGGGGUACCUGAAGUGCGUAACCGCAAGGAGCGCCCUAGGGUA